GAUGAACGCUGGCGGCGUGCCUAAUACAUGCAAGUCGAACGCAUUGUGGUUGAAAUGAUAUGAAGAACUUGUUCAGAUUUGAUUUUCAACAUUGCAAUGAGUGGCGAACGGGUGAGUAACACGUGGGAAACCUACCUCUUAGCAGGGGAUAACAUUUGGAAACAAAUGCUAAUACCAUAUAAUAAUUAAAACCGCAUGGUUUUAGUUUAAAAGAUGGUCUUGCUAUCACUAAGAGAUGGUCCCGCGGUGUAUUAGUUAGUUGGGUGAGGUAAAUGGCUCACCAAGACAAUGAUACAUAGCCGAGUUGAGAGACUGACCGGCACAAUGGGACUGAGACAGGCCCAUACUCCUACGGAGGCAGCAGUAGGGAAGUCUUCCACAAUGGACGAAAGUACUGAU
RNAcentral lists this ribosomal RNA (399 nucleotides) under uncultured bacterium. Its description in RNAcentral is "bacterial SSU rRNA". It matches the Rfam family "Bacterial small subunit ribosomal RNA", at positions 28 to 387 of the family's 1533-position model. The record is from RNAcentral.